AACGAACGCUGGCGGCAUGCCUAACACAUGCAAGUCGAACGAGGCCUUCGGGUCUAGUGGCGCACGGGUGCGUAACGCGUGGGAAUCUGCCCUUGGGUUCGGAAUAACAGUUGGAAACGACUGCUAAUACCGGAUGAUGACGUAAGUCCAAAGAUUUAUCGCCCAAGGAUGAGCCCGCGUAGGAUUAGCUAGUUGGUGAGGUAAAGGCUCACCAAGGCGACGAUCCUUAGCUGGUCUGAGAGGAUGAUCAGCCACACUGGGACUGAGACACGGCCCAGACUCCGCCGGGAAGCAGCAGUGGGGAAUAUUGGAGAAUGGGCGAGAGUCUGAUCCAUCAAUGCCGCGUGAGUAAUGAAAGCCUGAGGGUUGUAAAGCUCCUGUACCCGGGAUGAUAAUGACAGGACCUAGAGAAUCAGCUCCGGCCAACUCUGUG
RNAcentral lists this ribosomal RNA (433 nucleotides) under uncultured bacterium. RNAcentral describes it as "partial 16S ribosomal RNA". It matches the Rfam family "Bacterial small subunit ribosomal RNA", at positions 29 to 507 of the family's 1533-position model. The record is from RNAcentral.